This 492-nucleotide ribosomal RNA is filed under the name uncultured Hymenobacter sp. RNAcentral's name for it is "bacterial SSU rRNA". It matches the Rfam family "Bacterial small subunit ribosomal RNA", at positions 8 to 507 of the family's 1533-position model. The record is from RNAcentral. Lineage: Bacteria; Pseudomonadati; Bacteroidota; Cytophagia; Cytophagales; Hymenobacteraceae.
AGAGUUUGAUCCUGGCUCAGGAUGAACGCUAGCGGCAGGCCUAAUACAUGCAAGUCGAACGGUGGUAGCAAUACCAUAGUGGCGCACGGGUGCGUAACACGUAACUAACCUACCUAUAACUGGGGGAUAGCCCGCCGAAAGGCGGAUUAAUACCGCAUAAGCUAGUUAAAUGGCAUCAUUUGAUUAGUAAAGAUUUAUUGGUUAUAGAUGGGGUUGCGGGUCAUUAGCUAGUUGGUAAGGUAACGGCUUACCAAGGCGACGAUGACUAGGGGAGCUGAGAGGCUGGUCCCCCACACGGGCACUGAGAUACGGGCCCGACUCCUACGGGAGGCAGCAGUAGGGAAUAUUGGGCAAUGGGCGAGAGCCUGACCCAGCCAUGCCGCGUGCAGGAAGAAGGCUUUCUGAGUCGUAAACUGCUUUUGACAGGGAAGAAUAAACACUACGUGUAGUGUGAUGACGGUACCUGCAGAAUAAGCACCGGCUAACUCCGUG